GCCCCGAUUCGCGGGUCGCUACCUCUACGGGAAUAUAGUAACGCUUCAACUUUAGAAAAAAAGGACCAGAAGAUCCAAGUGUAUCAGGAGUUCCCAUAGGAAGAUACAACUGUAAGAUUUUUAUAAAACUCAAUAAAGUAAAACUGAUGAAGUACGAACUUGGACCUUAACAACCGAUUCGUCACGAACUUUAAACUUCCCUCGCACACAUUCAGACAUCAUUAACCGUCACGUUUGUACUAGUCGGAUAACUACUACAUCAUGAAUUAUACUACUAAUAGAUCAAAUGAACAACAUAAAAUAACGCGUAUCAUCUGGUGGUACGUAGUGGUUGGUCCAUUUUUACAAUGUAGUCCCCCGAAAGUACUCGAUUAACGUGUUAAGAAAUUCGAUACGAGACUUGCAAUCACCGGAAUAAAUUCGAAACAUCCAACGUCACAUUACACUUCUAAGGUUCCCUAUAGUUCGAAAUUUAACCCUAGUAAACGUUUCGUCUUUAUAUCUCUAGCUGUAGACUACCCUUCCUUGUACAGCUUAUAUUGCCGGUUUGUUCCUUCCCUGUACUCCGACAUUAUAGUAAAAGCAAGAGUAAAGAACAUCCUUC
Molecule: ribosomal RNA, 604 nt
Filed under: Triticum aestivum (bread wheat)
Lineage: Eukaryota; Viridiplantae; Streptophyta; Magnoliopsida; Poales; Poaceae
Description: partial small subunit ribosomal RNA
Source: RNAcentral